GCCCAGAUGGCGGAAUUGGUAGACGCGCUAGCUUCAGGUGCUAGUUCCUGUAUGGGAGUGGAGGUUCGAGUCCUCUUCUGGGCACCA
This 87-nucleotide transfer RNA is filed under the name Micavibrio sp. RNAcentral describes it as "tRNA-Leu". It matches the Rfam family "tRNA". From Rfam's summary of the family: Transfer RNA (tRNA) molecules are approximately 80 nucleotides in length. Lineage: Bacteria; Pseudomonadati; Bdellovibrionota; Bdellovibrionia; Bdellovibrionales; Pseudobdellovibrionaceae. The record is from RNAcentral.